This 499-nucleotide ribosomal RNA is filed under the name uncultured bacterium. RNAcentral's name for it is "partial 16S ribosomal RNA". It matches the Rfam family "Bacterial small subunit ribosomal RNA", at positions 28 to 507 of the family's 1533-position model. The record is from RNAcentral.
GACGAACGCUGGCGGCGUGCCUAAUACAUGCGAGUCGAGCGGACCGAACAGGAGCUUGCUCUUGUUCGGUUAGCGGCGGACGGGUGAGUAACACGUGGGUAACCUGCCCGUAAGACCGGGAUAACUCCGGGAAACCGGAGCUAAUACCGGAUAACACCGAAGACCGCAUGGUCUUUGGUUGAAAGGCGGCUUCGGCUGCCACUUACGGAUGGGCCCGCGGCGCAUUAGCUAGUUGGUGAGGUAACGGCUCACCAAGGCGACGAUGCGUAGCCGGCCUGAGAGGGUGAACGGCCACACUGAGACUGAGACACGGCCCAGACUCAUAAGAGAGGCAGCAGUAGGGAAUCUUCCGCAAUGGACGAAAGUCUGACGGAGCGACGCCGCGUGAGCGAAGAAGGUCUUCGGAUCGUAAAGCUCUGUUGUUAGGGAAGAAGAAGCGUCGUUCGAACAGGGCGGCGCGGUGACGGUACCUAACGAGAAAGCCCCGGCUAACUACGUG